This 507-nucleotide ribosomal RNA is filed under the name Microbacterium marinilacus. RNAcentral's name for it is "bacterial SSU rRNA". It matches the Rfam family "Bacterial small subunit ribosomal RNA", at positions 371 to 888 of the family's 1533-position model. Lineage: Bacteria; Bacillati; Actinomycetota; Actinomycetes; Micrococcales; Microbacteriaceae. The record is from RNAcentral.
AUGGGCGAAAGCCUGAUGCAGCAACGCCGCGUGAGGGAUGACGGCCUUCGGGUUGUAAACCUCUUUUAGCAGGGAAGAAGCGAGAGUGACGGUACCUGCAGAAAAAGCGCCGGCUAACUACGUGCCAGCAGCCGCGGUAAUACGUAGGGCGCAAGCGUUAUCCGGAAUUAUUGGGCGUAAAGAGCUCGUAGGCGGUUUGUCGCGUCUGCUGUGAAAACUGGAGGCUCAACCUCCAGCCUGCAGUGGGUACGGGCAGACUAGAGUGCGGUAGGGGAGAUUGGAAUUCCUGGUGUAGCGGUGGAAUGCGCAGAUAUCAGGAGGAACACCGAUGGCGAAGGCAGAUCUCUGGGCCGUAACUGACGCUGAGGAGCGAAAGGGUGGGGAGCGAACAGGCUUAGAUACCCUGGUAGUCCACCCCGUAAACGUUGGGAACUAGUUGUGGGGGCCUUUCCACGGUCUCCGUGACGCAGCUAACGCAUUAAGUUCCCCGCCUGGGGAGUACGGCCG